ACAUGAGUUUCUUGGACCUGCCCCAUGAUGGGAUUGGACCACUGAAUUUGUUGUAUGAGAAGUCUAAAUAGACAAGUUCAGUCAGAUUGGCCAUUGAAAUUGGAAUUAAUCCAUUGAAGUUGCAAGCUGCAAGCUCUAUUCUUGACAAACUCCCAAGUGUACCGAUGGAAUCUGUUAGUCUCCCUGAAAAAUUUGUGCUGCUGAGCACCAA
RNAcentral lists this unclassified non-coding RNA (211 nucleotides) under Hevea brasiliensis (rubber tree). The record is from RNAcentral. Lineage: Eukaryota; Viridiplantae; Streptophyta; Magnoliopsida; Malpighiales; Euphorbiaceae.